ACCCAGCUGAUGAGUUCCAAAUAGGAUGAAACGCACUUCCCGUAU
RNAcentral lists this non-coding RNA (45 nucleotides) under Trichobilharzia regenti. Lineage: Eukaryota; Metazoa; Platyhelminthes; Trematoda; Strigeidida; Schistosomatidae. The record is from RNAcentral.